AGGCCCAUAGCCAAGUGGUUAAGGCAACGGACUUUGACUCCGUUAUUCGUUGGUUCGAAUCCAGCUGGGCCUGCCA
RNAcentral lists this transfer RNA (76 nucleotides) under Candidatus Phytoplasma melaleucae. RNAcentral describes it as "tRNA-Gln". It matches the Rfam family "tRNA". Rfam says of the family: Transfer RNA (tRNA) molecules are approximately 80 nucleotides in length. Lineage: Bacteria; Bacillati; Mycoplasmatota; Mollicutes; Acholeplasmatales; Acholeplasmataceae. The record is from RNAcentral.